GUGAGGAAUAUUGGUCAAUGGACGGAAGUCUGAACCAGCCAUGCCGCGUGCAGGAAUAAGGUCCUAUGGAUUGUAAACUGCUUUUAUUCGGGAAUAAACCUCUUUACGUGUAGGGAGCUGAAGGUACCGAAGGAAUAAGCACCGGCUAACUCCGUGCCAGCAGCCGCGGUAAUACGGAGGGUGCAAGCGUUAUCCGGAAUCAUUGGGUUUAAAGGGUCCGCAGGCGGGCUAUCAAGUCAGAGGUGAAAUCCCACAGCUUAACUGUGGAACUGCCUUUGAAACUGAUGGUCUUGAAUUAAGUGGGCGUUGGCGGAAUAUGACAUGUAGCGGUGAAAUGCAUAGAUAUGUCAUGGAACACCGAAAGCGAAGGCAGCUAACGAUACUUAUAUUGACGCUCAUGGACGAAAGCGUGGGUAGCGAACAGGAUUAGAAACCCUGGUAGUCC
This 445-nucleotide ribosomal RNA is filed under the name uncultured bacterium. RNAcentral describes it as "bacterial SSU rRNA". It matches the Rfam family "Bacterial small subunit ribosomal RNA", at positions 354 to 796 of the family's 1533-position model. The record is from RNAcentral.